Molecule: small RNA, 1150 nt
Filed under: Pleosporales sp. TG23
Lineage: Eukaryota; Fungi; Ascomycota; Dothideomycetes; Pleosporales
Description: eukaryotic LSU rRNA
Rfam family: Eukaryotic large subunit ribosomal RNA (bases 387-1150)
Source: RNAcentral
AGCGGGGGCUUCGGCUAUCGUGAUAGAACCCUUGCCUUUUGAGUACCGUCCGUUUCCUCGGCAGGCCCGCCUGCCAAUGGGGACCCCAAUAAACCCUUUUUAUGUACCUGUAUCAGUCUGAAAAACAAACAAAAGUUAAAACUUUCAACAACGGAUCUCUUGGUUCUGGCAUCGAUGAAGAACGCAGCGAAAUGCGAUAAGUAGUGUGAAUUGCAGAAUUCAGUGAAUCAUCGAAUCUUUGAACGCACAUUGCGCCCUUUGGUAUUCCUUAGGGCAUGCCUGUUCGAGCGUCAUUUGAAACCUCAAGCUCAGCUUGGUGUUGGGUGUCUGUCCCCGCCUCCCGCGGGGACUCGCCUCAAAAUCAUUGGCGGCCGGUACGUUGGCUUCGAGCGCAGCAGAAACGCGAACUCGAGGCCCGGCGGAUCGGCGACCAGAAGUCACUUCUUCACAGCGGCGAGUGAAGCGGCAAGAGCUCAAAUUUGAAAUCUGGCCCCCUCGGGGUCCGAGUUGUAAUUUGUAGAGGGUGCUUUGGCGUUGGCUGUGGUCUAAGUUCCUUGGAACAGGACGUCGCAGAGGGUGAGAAUCCCGUAUGUGGCCGCCAGUCUUCGCCGUGUAAAGCCCCUUCGACGAGUCGAGUUGUUUGGGAAUGCAGCUCUAAAUGGGAGGUAAAUUUCUUCUAAAGCUAAAUAUUGGCCAGAGACCGAUAGCGCACAAGUAGAGUGAUCGAAAGAUGAAAAGCACUUUGGAAAGAGAGUCAAAAAGCACGUGAAAUUGUUGAAAGGGAAGCGCUUGCAGCCAGACUUGCCCGCAGUUGCUCAUCCAGGCUCGCGCCUGGUGCACUCUUCUGCGGGCAGGCCAGCAUCAGUCCGGGCGGUUGGAUAAAGGCCUGCUAAAUGUACCUCUCCUCGGGGAGGACUUAUAGGGCAGGCGACAUGCAACCAGCCCGGAUUGAGGUCCGCGCAUCUGCUAGGAUGCUGGCGUAAUGGCUGUAAGCGGCCCGUCUUGAAACACGGACCAAGGAGUCUAACAUCUAUGCGAGUGUUUGGGUGUCAAGCCCGAGCGCGCAAUGAAAGUGAACGGAGGUGGGAACCCCUCGGGGUGCACCAUCGACCGAUCCUGAUGUCUUCGGAUGGAUUUGAGUAUGAGCAUA